Helianthus annuus (common sunflower) is the source of this 929-nucleotide long non-coding RNA. RefSeq lists it as uncharacterized. NCBI's taxonomy places the organism in Eukaryota, Viridiplantae, Streptophyta, Magnoliopsida, Asterales, Asteraceae. The transcript is spliced from 2 exons. The record is from RefSeq and is a predicted model, not a curated record.
AGCAAAUUUCAUGUACCUGAAGUGAACCAGCAACUACUCGACCGGAUACCCGAAUUGAUUGAAAACAAAGAAUCGAUUACCCAACCCUUUACAUUGCUUCGAUCAUCGGUUCUUUUUCAUUCGGUACAUGGGUUCUCACACAACAUUCCGAGAACGAUUUAGAAGUUCAAAAUUGGUCCCAAAUCUUCAAUUUCAUUCAAGAUAUUGUCCAUAGAUCCCCUGCUACUACUAUAAUCUUCAAAAUUGCAAUGGUGCAAGAUUUGUGGUGACAAGUUGGAAAACACCGACCUUCGGGCACGAAUUCACAAACUUGUGUGGAAUGUGUUCAUAAAACCUACCACGUUUGAGUCGAGAUGGAAUGACCUAAUGGCCGAGUUCGAGUUAGGUGACAACAAUUGGCUGAAUGAUAUGUUCGAAAUAAGGGAUCAGUGGGUGCCGGCUUAUUUCAGGGAUUUACCCAUGUGUUGUCUGAUGAAAACAACUUCGAGGUGCGAGAGCUCAAAUUCCUUAUUCAAAGUAUAUUCAUCAUCAGGCAAUACACUUGUCCAAUUUAUGCUUUGUUAAGAAAACACAUUGAAUGCUCAACGCUUCGAACACCGUCGUCUCCAAUACGAAACUACAACAACGUCACCUAAAAUGUUGACAAGCCUACCAAUAGAACGUCAUGUGUCAUAUGUAUACACACAGAACCUUUUCAAUGAAGUUCAGAAGGAAAUAUACAAAGGGUUGUAUUUGUGUGGUCUUGAUCACACAGAAACAAGUGAUGGUGUUAGGAUUAGCUCUGUUAAUCAUCACGACAAAAGCAAGGGUUAGUUGGGGAGUUCAAGGUUAUGUUCAUAGUUUCACAAUUUUUAUUCAUUCUACUAACAUCGUUCAGUCAAAUAUGUAUGAUCACACCUGAUUUAAUGUGCAGGUAACUUUCAAUUUGA